Molecule: ribosomal RNA, 386 nt
Filed under: Gephyrocapsa cf. oceanica
Lineage: Eukaryota; Haptophyta; Isochrysidales; Noelaerhabdaceae
Description: partial small subunit ribosomal RNA
Rfam family: Eukaryotic small subunit ribosomal RNA
Source: RNAcentral
AUUCCAGCUCCAAUAGCGUAUAUUAAAGUUGUUGCAGUUAAAACGCUCGUAGUCGGAUUUCGGGGCGGGCCGACCGGUCUGCCGAUGGGUAUGCACUGGCCGGCGCGUCCUUCCACCCGGAGACCGCGCCUACUCUUAACUGAGCGGGCGCGGGAGACGGGUCUUUUACUUUGAAAAAAUCAGAGUGUUUCAAGCAGGCAGUCGCUCUUGCAUGGAUUAGCAUGGGAUAAUGAAAUAGGACUUUGGUUCAUUUUAUUGGUUAUUGAACCUUAGUAAUGAUUAACAGGGACAGUUGGGGGCAUUAGUAUUUAAUUGUCAGAGGUGAAAUUCUUGGAUUUAUUAAAGACUAACUUAUGCGAAAGCAUUUGCCAAGGAUGUUUUCAUCA